Molecule: ribosomal RNA, 260 nt
Filed under: uncultured bacterium
Lineage: Bacteria
Description: partial 16S ribosomal RNA
Rfam family: Bacterial small subunit ribosomal RNA
Source: RNAcentral
AACGAACGCUGGCGGCGUGCCUAACACAUGCAAGUCGAACGAGAAAGGGGCUUCGGCUCCGAGUAAAGUGGCGCACGGGUGAGUAACACGUAGGUAACCUGCUCUAAGAUUGGGAUAACUUGUCGAAAGACGAGCUAAUACCAAAUGAGACCACGGUCUCCUCGGAGACAGAGGUCAAAGGUAGCCUCUAUUUAUAAGCUAUCGCUGAGAGAUGGGCCUGCGUACCANAGUCUAGUUGGUGAGGUAACGGCUCACCAAGG